This 449-nucleotide ribosomal RNA is filed under the name uncultured bacterium. RNAcentral's name for it is "partial 16S ribosomal RNA". It matches the Rfam family "Bacterial small subunit ribosomal RNA", at positions 29 to 523 of the family's 1533-position model. The record is from RNAcentral.
AACGAACGCUGGCGGCAUGCCUAACACAUGCAAGUCGAACGAACCCUUCGGGGUUAGUGGCGCACGGGUGCGUAACACGUGGGAAUCUGCCCUUUGCUUCGGAAUAACAGUUAGAAAUGACUGCUAAUACCGGAUAAUGUCGUAAGACCAAAGAUUUAUCGGCAAAGGAUGAGCCCGCGUAGGAUUAGCUUGUUGGUGGGGUAAUGGCCCACCAAGGCGACGAUCCUUAGCUGGUCUGAGAGGAUGAUCAGCCACACUGGGACCGAGACACGGCCCAGACUCCUACGGGAGGCAGCAGUGGGGAAUAUUGGACAAUGGGCGAAAGCCUGAUCCAGCAAUGCCGCGUGAGUGAUGAAGGCCUUAGGGUUGUAAAGCUCUUUUACCAGGGAUGAUAAUGACAGUACCUGGAGAAUAAGCUCCGGCUAACUCCGUGCCAGCAGCCGCAGUAA